Long non-coding RNA from Anopheles gambiae (African malaria mosquito), 1917 nucleotides. RefSeq lists it as uncharacterized. The transcript has 3 exons. The record is from RefSeq and is a predicted model, not a curated record. NCBI's taxonomy places the organism in Eukaryota, Metazoa, Arthropoda, Insecta, Diptera, Culicidae.
ACCGUAGCAAUAGACGAUGCGCAAUCUCAGAUUGCGCAUAUAUUUAUCUGUCAAACGGGUCGAUUUGAUAUAUUUAUCUGUCAAAAAAAAUUUAUAUAUCUCGGACAUAUAAAUCUCGAAAAUUUAUGCGCAAUCUUAGCGCAAUCUUGAAAUAAUAAGUUUGUUUACAUAUAGCGGUAGGUAUUGAAACGAAUAAAUAUGAGAUGAUGCGUUGAUUUUUGAACCAAAAAUCUAAUUAUGUUUUGAUUUCAGCCAUGGAGAACGAAUUGUCGAACGUGCCGAAUCGCCGGAAUUAUGAAAAAUUGGUAAAUAUAUAAUCAUUCUGUUUUUGCUACCGGUGUUUUUGUAGUGGAAGCAAUUCUUGGGUGUAUUUUUGUAAAUUUAUUUUUACUCGUAUUUUAUUUAAAUCGUAUAUGUUCAGUGUUUGUGAUUUGUGUAUGCGGUAGAAAUUUAGAAAUAUGGGCAACGAUUGAAUUAUUGUUCAAUUUUGAUUAUUUUACGGCUUGGAAAAAACAUAACCUCUGCUGCUUCUCCAGCUACCGGCGAUUUUUUUAAAACGACAGUUGCUUUGGAGUUUGUGAAAAAUUUGUAAAAAUUAUAGAUUGUAAAAAUUUUAAAUUGUAAAAAUUGUAGAUUGUAAAAAAGUUUAAAUUGUAAAAAUUGUAAAUUGUACUAAUUUUAUGUACCUAGCUAGCCUUUAUUUUUGCAGGAAUAUACCAUUGAACUGAAAUGUUUUAUUUGUACAUUGCAGCUCUUUGAGAAAUGACCUGGCUGUACCACGGAAUGUUGUGUUUCUUAUUAGUCCGCAUACACUAAUAAUGAUUUGGAAUCCUGGAAUCUAGGUUAUGCGGUUUUGGUCUUCUUCCAACAGGAUAUAUUUCAUCUGAUCCGGAAAAUCAACUAUUCCUUCUGGCCCUGUUUUCCUGCACCAUUUUUGCUGCAACCUCUACCCCAACUGCUACAAUGGAAGCUAUUGCUGUUGCCGCUGCGAUAAAAAAAAGUUUCUUAUUUUUACAGUAACGUUUAUGUGUAUUUUAAUAUUUUAUAUUACAGCUCUUUCGAGGUUGAGGACUGAUAAUGGAAGAAAACUGCUGCAUCUUCCGGGCCAUCAACAUAAUAACGGGGUCAUGCGGAUGGUGAAUGAUAAGUAAUUGAGUCGAGAUUAAUAGUUUUUUAUUAUUGAUUUGCUUCCAGAACGUUGAGCCAAGCCUUCGGCUAAUUGCCGAGGUGGAACGACGGCCUGCUUUAUGGCAAAAGCGGUCGGAGUUUUACAAAAACGGAAUUCGGCGUAGGGAUGCGUGGACCGAGAUUGGUAGAAUCUUGGAACUUACCGUCGAAGAGGCCAGUUAUCAGUGGAGGAAGCUGCUGACCAGCUACCGGACGUAUAAGUCCAAGCUGCGUAAAAGUCAGCAAAGCGGAGCAGCGGCUGAGGACGUUUUUCGGCCAAGAUGGUUCGCCUUCGACGCGAUGAAGUUCCUUGACGAUACCAUGAAGGACGGCACGCAUCUCGAUACGUUCGAUGACGACCUAGAACAACACACCUCCACCCAAACCCACCCAAUCCCUUCUUGUUCCUAUUCCUCAAUUCCGCCGCAACCAACAAUCCCAGCACCAACCCCAGCACCAAUCCCAGCACCAACCCCAGCACCAAUCCCAGCACCAACCCCAGCACCAACCCCAGCACUAAUCCCAGCACCAACCCCAGCACCAAUCCCAGCACCAACCCCAGCACCAAGCCCAGCACCAACCUCAGCGAUGGAAAAUUGUUUCUCCAUGUUUGGCCAGUGGGUGGGUGCAUGGUUGAACCAUCUACCACCAGAACAGCAAAAUGAUGCCACCAACCAUUUGCGGCAGACGAUGCUAGAGUGGGAUCUUAAACACAAGAAAAAAUAAAAUAAAAAUAUUUACAAAACCAUA